Molecule: ribosomal RNA, 507 nt
Filed under: uncultured Glomeraceae
Lineage: Eukaryota; Fungi; Glomeromycota; Glomeromycetes; Glomerales; Glomeraceae
Description: SSU rRNA
Rfam family: Eukaryotic small subunit ribosomal RNA
Source: RNAcentral
AGCAGCCGCGGUAAUUCCAGCUCCAAUAGCGUAUAUUAAAGUUGUUGCAGUUAAAAAGCUCGUAGUUGAAUUUUGGGUCUGGCCGGGCGGUCCGCCCUCUGGGUGAGCACUGUUCCGACGCCGGGCCUAUCCUUCUGGUGAGUCGGCAUGUCCUUUGUUGGGUGUGUCGGGGAACCAGGACCAUUACCUUGAAAAAUUAGAGUGUUCAAAGCAGACGUAUGCUCGGAUACAUUAGCAUGGAAUAAUGAAAUAGGACGCGUGGUGCUAUUUUGUUGGUUUCUAGAACCGCCGUAAUGAUUAAUAGGGAUAGUUGGGGGCAUUAGUAUUCAAUUGUCAGAGGUGAAAUUCUUGGAUUUAUUGAAGACUAACUUCUGCGAAAGCAUUUGCCAAGGAUGUUUUCAUUAAUCAAGAACGAAAGUUAGGGGAUCGAAGACGAUCAGAUACCGUCGUAGUCUUAACCAUAAACUAUGCCGACUAGGAAUCGGGUGAUGUUAUUCUCAUGACUCG